ACGGGGUGCAGCAGGCGCGAAAACUCUACAAUGCAGGCAACUGCGAUAGGGGAACAUCGAGUGAUCCUCAUAUUGGGGGUCUGUCCACCCGCCUAAAAAGCGGGUGUUAGCAAGGGCCGGGCAAGACCGGUGCCAGCCGCCGCGGUAAUACCGGCGGCUCGAGUGGUGGCCGAUAUUAUUGAGUCUAAAGGGUCCGUAGCCGGCUUUGCAAGUCUCUCGGGAAAUCCAGCGGCUUAACCGUUGGGCUGUCGGGGGGUACUACAUUGCUUGGGACUGGGAGAGGUAGGAGGUACUCAGGGGGUAGGAGUGAAAUCCUGUAAUCCUUUGGGGACCACCGGUGGCGAAGGCGUCCUACCAGAACAGGUCCGACGGUGAGGGACGAAAGCUAGGGGCACGAACCGGAUUAGAUACCCGGGUAGUCCUAGCCGUAAACGAUGCUCGCUAGGUGUCACAACAGUCGUGAACUGUUGUGGUGCCGUAGGGAAGCCGUGAAGCGAGCCACUUGGGAAGUACGACCGCAAGGUUGAAACUUAAAGGAAUUGGCGGGGGA
This 550-nucleotide ribosomal RNA is filed under the name uncultured archaeon. RNAcentral's name for it is "bacterial SSU rRNA". It matches the Rfam family "Archaeal small subunit ribosomal RNA", at positions 325 to 875 of the family's 1478-position model. The record is from RNAcentral.